CACGGAGCCAUGCACGGAGCAAUGUGCUCAGCAAUGCACGGAGCAAUGUGCUCAGCAAUGCACGGAGCAAUGUGCUCAGCAAUGCCCAGAGCAAUGCAUGGAGCAAGGUGCAGAGCAAUGCCCUGAGCAAUAUGCAGAGCAAUGUCUGGAGCAAUGCCUGGAGCAAUGCAAUGUGCACAGCAAUGCCCAGAGUAAUGCACGGUGUAGAGCAAUGCACUGAGCAGUGCACAGAGCAGUGCAUGGAGCAAUGCCUGGAGCAGUGUGCACAGUAAUGCACGGUGCAGAGCAAUGCACAGAGCAAUGCAUGGAGUAAUGCACAGAGCAAGGCACAGAGCAAUGCCCUGAGCAAUGCAAUGUGCACGGCAAUGCCCAGAGUAAUGCACGGUGCAGAGCAAUGCACGGAGCAGUGCAUGGAGCAAUGCAAUGUGCACAGCAAUGCAUGGAGCAAGGCGCAGAGCAAUGUCUGGAGCAAUGCAAUGUGCACAGCAAUGCCCAGAGCAAUGCACGGUGCAAUGCCCGGCACAGAGCAAUGCCCGGCACAGAGCAAUGCAUGCAUGGUGCAGAGCAAUGCCCAGCACAGAGCAAUGCAUGGUGCAGAGCAAUGCCCAGCACAGAGCAACACAUGGUACAGAGCAAUGCCCAGCACAGAGCAAUGCAUGGUGCAGAGCAAUGCCCAGCGUGGAGCAAUGCAUGCAUGGCACAGAGCAAUGCAUGCANACAGAGCAAUGCCCAGCACAGAGCAAUGCAUGGUAUGGAGCAGUGCAUGGCACAGAGCAAUGCAUGCAUGGUACAGAGCAAUGCAUGGUACGGAGCAAUGCCCAGCACAGAGCAAUGCAUGCAUGGUGCAGAGCAAUGCCCAGCACAGAGCAAUGCAUGCAUGGUGCAGAGCAAUGCCCAGCACAGAGCAAUGCAUGCAUGGUGCAGACCAAUGCCCAGCACAGAGCAAUGCAUGCAUGGUACAGAGUAAUGCUUGGAGCACAGAGCAAUGCAUGGUAUGGAGCAAUGCCCAGCACAGGGCAAUGCUUGGAGCAAUGCCCAGCACAGAGCAAUGCUUGGAGCAAUGCCCAGCAGAGAGCAACGCUUGGAGCAAUGCCCAGCACGGAGCAAUGCUUGGAGCAAUGCCCAGCACGGAGCCAAGCUUGGAGCAAUGCCCAGCACGGAGCCAAGCUUGGAGCAAUGCCCAGCACAGAGCAACGCUUGGAGCAAUGCCCAGCGUGGCGCGCACCGUUGCCAGGUUGAGCUGUGCUCUGUUGUGCUGUGUUGUGCUGUGCUGUGUUGUGCUGUGCACUGUUGUGCUGUGCUGUGUUGCACUGUGCUGUGCAGGAGGAGCAGCUGGAGCGAGGCCAGGAGCCGCCCUGCUCGGAGCAGAACCUUACUCAGAGAUUCCGUGGGGCUGACGCCGUGCGAUGAAAGGGAGCAGCAGCGUCCUCCCCCCCACA
RNAcentral lists this long non-coding RNA (1439 nucleotides) under Numida meleagris (helmeted guineafowl). Its description in RNAcentral is "lncRNA (ENSNMEG00000001097.1)". The record is from RNAcentral. Lineage: Eukaryota; Metazoa; Chordata; Aves; Galliformes; Numididae.